GGGUAUAGCUCAGUGGUAGAGCACAUGCUUAGCAUACAAGAGGUCCUGGGUUCAAUCCCCAGUACCACCA
RNAcentral lists this transfer RNA (70 nucleotides) under Camelus bactrianus (Bactrian camel). It matches the Rfam family "tRNA". Rfam says of the family: Transfer RNA (tRNA) molecules are approximately 80 nucleotides in length. Their secondary structure includes four short double-helical elements and three loops (D, anti-codon, and T loops). The record is from Rfam by way of RNAcentral. RNAcentral also lists the same sequence under 2 other names. Lineage: Eukaryota; Metazoa; Chordata; Mammalia; Artiodactyla; Camelidae.